Non-coding RNA from Pelobates cultripes (western spadefoot toad), 221 nucleotides. NCBI's taxonomy places the organism in Eukaryota, Metazoa, Chordata, Amphibia, Anura, Pelobatidae. The record is from the annotation of a GenBank genome assembly.
GUGAGGGAGGGUGUGACUAGUGACAGUUAGGCAGGGAAGGGGUGACUAGUGACAGAGGGAGGUGGUGACUAGGGACAGAGUGAGGGAGGUGGUGACUAGUGACAGUCACCACCUCCCUCACUCUGUCACUAGUCACCACCUCCCUCCGUCACUGUGUCACCCCCUCCCUCACUCUGUCACCAGUCAUCCCCUUACUCUGUCACUAGUCACCCCUCCCUCAC